This 501-nucleotide ribosomal RNA is filed under the name uncultured bacterium. RNAcentral describes it as "bacterial SSU rRNA". It matches the Rfam family "Bacterial small subunit ribosomal RNA", at positions 30 to 524 of the family's 1533-position model. The record is from RNAcentral.
AUUGAACGCUGGCGGCAUGCGUAACACAUGCAAGUCGAACGGUGUUUGGUGCUUGCACCAGACAUAGUGGCGGACGGGUGAGUAAUGCGUAGGAAUCUGUCUUAGAGAGGGGGACAACCCGAGGAAACUUGGGCUAAAACCGCAUAUUCUCGAGAGAGGAAAGCAGGGGACCGGAAACGGCCUUGUGCUCUAAGGUGAGCCUACGUCGGAUUAGCUAGUUGGUAGGGUAAAAGCCUACCAAGGCGAUGAUCUGUAGCUGGUCUGAGAGGACGGACAGCCACACUGGGACUGAGACACGGCCCAGACUCCUACGGGAGGCAGCAGUGGGGAAUAUUGGACAAUGGGGGAACCCUGAUCCAGCGAUGCCGCGUGUGUGAAGAAGGCCUGCGGGUUGUAAAGCACUUUCAGUGGGAAAGAGAAGCGUCUUGUGAAUAAUGGGACGUGGAGACGUUACUCACAGAAGAAGCACCGGCUAAACUCUGUGCCAGCAGCCGCGGUAAU